UCAGGAUGCUGGGCACUCCAAUGCCUCUCAUUAAAAUGAAGUGGGUCCACUUUACAAGCUGAGACUUUAAGAAAAGCACCAAAUAUCAUGAGUUGGCAACCCUGAGAAUAAGCAUGCACUUGAAUUAACACUUGUGGCUGGACGAGGGAAGUAUCCAUUUCAUCAUAAGAGCAAAUGAGUCAUGCAGAUGCUAUUGCGUUUUGGAGCACGGUACAUUUGCGCUCCUUAUGGCCGUCCUGAGCGCCUACUGUAUGUGUGAUACAAAUCUGAAGACAUUUGCCAAAUCUCCUGGUCCCAGGCAAUAGUGGAAAAUUAUCUGCAUAAUAAACCAGCAAGAAACCUCUUUGCAAAUUCUGCAGUGUUAUCUCCAGUAGGGAUGGUAUGAUUUCCUCUUAGUGGCUCUCUCUUGCAAUGGGCUUCACACUUAAAAACACUGCUUUACACCAUGGCAAUGUGUGAGAGAGAUACCUGAGGCUUGUAUUAACCCGGUUUAUGUCUGAGAACGCUUGUCAUUCAUUCACCCUGCUGAAAGCUUUGAAGUUAACUUUUUGUUUUAAUUUACAAUAUAUCUUUGUUUUCGAUACAACAGUACCAGCUAAAUAAACAUGGACUGGAAAUUCUGCUUUGAAAUAGGGCUCUCUAAAAAUGGCAUUACCAGCAGACGUUCCUGAAACAACGUUAGAUCAAUUGUGCUGCAUUUACACAUGAAAAGAUUUUUGUUUUUUCUAACAUCAAGCCCUGUAAACUCAGCCUCUGAGAGUUAAGCUGGGUUCUCAUUUUUGUGGAUCAUUGCUAGUAAUGAAGGUUUUGCAAACCAAAUUAGUCCCUCUGUAAUACCAAUGCAAUCCCUUUUACCCUCAUUGGUCAU
Long non-coding RNA from Malaclemys terrapin pileata, 868 nucleotides. RefSeq lists it as uncharacterized. The record is from RefSeq and is a predicted model, not a curated record. The transcript is spliced from 5 exons. Lineage: Eukaryota; Metazoa; Chordata; Testudines; Emydidae.